This 106-nucleotide transfer RNA is filed under the name Xylophilus rhododendri. RNAcentral describes it as "Xylophilus sp. KACC 21265 tRNA-OTHER". It matches the Rfam family "tRNA". From Rfam's summary of the family: Transfer RNA (tRNA) molecules are approximately 80 nucleotides in length. Their secondary structure includes four short double-helical elements and three loops (D, anti-codon, and T loops). The record is from RNAcentral. Lineage: Bacteria; Pseudomonadati; Pseudomonadota; Betaproteobacteria; Burkholderiales.
GGCUGCGUGCCCGAGCUGGUUGAAGGGCGAACACGCAAGACAGUCCGCCGCGACGCGUGAAGAGUCAGGGCGGCGGACUACCCGGGUUCGAAUCCCGGCGCAGCCG